AUUCAUCUACAACAACCAAUCAGGGUUCCUACCCUGACUAUACAGAAAGAGGAGACAGGGCAGCCCUGUCCACAUACACCGCAGCCAGCACCCUGGGCCGAGUCUACAUUGUGAAUGGGGCACAUAG
This 127-nucleotide small nucleolar RNA is filed under the name Tupaia belangeri (northern tree shrew). RNAcentral's name for it is "Small nucleolar RNA SNORA51 (ENSTBEG00000021102.1)". Lineage: Eukaryota; Metazoa; Chordata; Mammalia; Scandentia; Tupaiidae. The record is from RNAcentral.